CUCUUUCACCGGAGAAGAUAAUGACGGUAUCCGGAGAAGAAGCCCCGGCUAACUUCGUGCCAGCAGCCGCGGUAAUACGAAGGGGGCUAGCGUUGUUCGGAAUUACUGGGCGUAAAGCGCACGUAGGCGGACAUUUAAGUCAGGGGUGAAAUCCCGGGGCUCAACCCCGGAACUGCCUUUGAUACUGGGUGUCUUGAGUGUGUAAGAGGUCAGUGGAAUUGCGAGUGUAGCGGUGAAAUUCGUAGAUAUUCGCAGGAACACCAGUGGCGAAGGCGGCUUCCUGGUCCAACACUGACGCUGAGGCGCGAAAGCGUGGGGAGCAAACAGGAUUAGAUACCCUGGUAGUCCACGCCGUAAACGAUG
RNAcentral lists this ribosomal RNA (363 nucleotides) under uncultured bacterium. RNAcentral describes it as "bacterial SSU rRNA". It matches the Rfam family "Bacterial small subunit ribosomal RNA", at positions 431 to 811 of the family's 1533-position model. The record is from RNAcentral.